GGUUAAAAGUGAAUUUAAGAAGAGGAGAGGAAAAGACCUUGUAAAGGGAGACACCAAUAAAUGUUUCCAGCACUGCUGUGGCACAAGUAUUCUAAUCUCGGACUCUAUUACACCAUUAGCUAGAGAGAAUGGUGGCAGUUGGAGGCAGUUGAGAGAAUUAGAUGAGAUUAGAAUUAGAGAUUUUUUAAGUCCCUGCUAAUUGUAACCUCUGAGAUACAUCUUACUUUCCAUAUAACAAGAUCCUGUCUGAAAUGCUGGCCUAGACUGAGUUGCCACGCAUUCCUUAGAAGUGGAGAAAAAGAUGAAUAUGCUGGGAAGACAUUUGAUUGCUUGAGACUUCAGCCAUAGUUUUGCUUUCACAAAAGCUACUAUUACGGUUUUAACUAUUCUUCUUACAAAUGGAGAAUUAUGGGUAUCAAGAAAGAGG
Molecule: non-coding RNA, 427 nt
Organism: Equus caballus (horse)
Lineage: Eukaryota; Metazoa; Chordata; Mammalia; Perissodactyla; Equidae
Source: RefSeq, a predicted model, not a curated record